GACGAACGCUGGCGGCGUGCUUAACACAUGCAAGUCGAACGGAAAGGCCCUGCUUUUGUGGGGUGCUCGAGUGGCGAACGGGUGAGUAACACGUGAGUAACCUGCCCUUGACUUUGGGAUAACUUCAGGAAACUGGGGCUAAUACCGGAUAUGAGCUCCUGCUGCAUGGUGGGGGUUGGAAAGUUUCGGCGGUUGGGGCUGGACUCGCUGCUUAUGAGCUUGUUGGUGGGGUAGUUACUUACCAAGGCUUUGACGGGUAGCCGGCCUGGGAGGUUGACCGGCCACAUUGGGACUGAGGUACGGCCCAGACUCCUACGGGCGGCAGCAGUGGGGAAUAUUGCACAAUGGGCGGAAGCCUGAUGCAGCAACGCCGCGUGCGGGAUGACGGCCUUCGGGUUGUAAACCGCUUUCGCCUGUGACGAAGCGUGAGUGGCGGUAAUGGGUAAAGAAGCACCGGCUAACUACGUG
This 468-nucleotide ribosomal RNA is filed under the name uncultured bacterium. RNAcentral's name for it is "partial 16S ribosomal RNA". It matches the Rfam family "Bacterial small subunit ribosomal RNA", at positions 28 to 507 of the family's 1533-position model. The record is from RNAcentral.